Molecule: non-coding RNA, 45 nt
Filed under: Schistosoma mattheei
Lineage: Eukaryota; Metazoa; Platyhelminthes; Trematoda; Strigeidida; Schistosomatidae
Source: RNAcentral
AUCCUAUUGAUGAGUCCGAAAUAGGACGAAACGUGCGUCCUGAAU